UCGCCUGUUUAACAAAAACAUAGCUUUACGGACUUUAUGUAAGGUGAUACCUGCCCGGUGAUCAUUUAACGGCCGCAGUACUUUGACUGUGCUAAGGUAGCAUAAUAAAUUGGCUUUUAAUUGAAGUCUAGAAUGAACGGAUAAAUGAAUAGAACCUUUCUUAAUUUAAGUUUUUAAAAUUUACUUAGGAGGUGAAAAUUCCUUUAGUGACUUAAAUAAACGAGAAGACCCUAGGAGUUUUUUAUUUUGUUGGGGCGACACUGCAGCACUUUAACCUGCGAACAAAAAAGUAAUUUUACAAAUUAUUUUAAUGAAAAUUAAGCUACCCUAGGGAUAACAGCAUAAUUUAUAAUAAGAUUGUGACCUCGAUGUUGGACUAGGAAAAUUUAAUGUUAACUAUAUUAAAG
RNAcentral lists this ribosomal RNA (407 nucleotides) under Geotrochus oedobasis. RNAcentral's name for it is "partial large subunit ribosomal RNA". It matches the Rfam family "Archaeal large subunit ribosomal RNA", at positions 1888 to 2638 of the family's 2987-position model. The record is from RNAcentral. Lineage: Eukaryota; Metazoa; Mollusca; Gastropoda; Stylommatophora; Trochomorphidae.